AAAACGGCCCUUUUCAGGGCCACCAAAUUGUACGCAAUGAUGCGG
Molecule: non-coding RNA, 45 nt
Organism: Trichuris suis (pig whipworm)
Lineage: Eukaryota; Metazoa; Nematoda; Enoplea; Trichinellida; Trichuridae
Source: Rfam